AGCGGCAACAGCUCAAAUUUGAAAUCUGGCCCCCCGGGCCCGAGUUGUAAUUUGCAGAGGAUGCUUUUGGCAAGGCGCCGCCCGAGUUCCCUGGAACGGGACGCCGCAGAGGGUGAGAGCCCCGUCUGGCUGGACGCCGAGCCUUCGUAAAGCUCCUUCGACGAGUCGAGUAGUUUGGGAAUGCUGCUCAAAAUGGGAGGUAUAUGUCUUCUAAAGCUAAAUAUUGGCCAGAGACCGAUAGCGCACAAGUAGAGUGAUCGAAAGAUGAAAAGCACUUUGAAAAGAGGGUUAAACAGUACGUGAAAUUGUUGAAAGGGAAGCGCUCGUGACCAGACUUGGGCUUGGGGGAUCAUCCGGCGUUCUCGCCGGUGCACUUCCCCUCGCCCAGGCCAGCAUCAGUUCGCGCCGGGGGACAAAAGCUUCGGGAAUGUGGCUCCUCCGGGAGUGUUAUAGCCCGUUGCACAAUACCCUGGGGCGGACUGAGGUUCGCGCAUCUGCAAGGAUGCUG
This 508-nucleotide ribosomal RNA is filed under the name Cladobotryum cubitense. Its description in RNAcentral is "eukaryotic LSU rRNA". It matches the Rfam family "Eukaryotic large subunit ribosomal RNA", at positions 97 to 628 of the family's 3401-position model. The record is from RNAcentral. Lineage: Eukaryota; Fungi; Ascomycota; Sordariomycetes; Hypocreales; Hypocreaceae.